Molecule: long non-coding RNA, 36399 nt
Filed under: Ananas comosus (pineapple)
Lineage: Eukaryota; Viridiplantae; Streptophyta; Magnoliopsida; Poales; Bromeliaceae
Description: long non-coding RNA (ACOM_LNC027369)
Source: RNAcentral
CUCUUUCUACUUUUUCUUUUUAAUUAUUUUUAUAUAUUUGUUCUCUUAAUAUAUGAUUAAAAAAAUUUAUAAAUUUUUUUAAUUCAAUCUAAAUUUUUAUUUAUUUUUAUAAAAAUUUAAAAUAUAUAAAUAAUUUUUAAAUAAGUUAAAUUAUUUGUAUUAAAUAUAAAUUUUAAUUAAGCUGAAUAAAAGAAUUAUUAAAAAUAUAUAAAAAAUAAGAAAGAAAAUUUAAAAAUGAAACAUAAAAAAAGUAAAAAAAAAUAAAAAUAAAAGGAUAUGAUAGAUAAAAAAAAAAUAGAGUCAAAAUGUAAGAACAAUAAAUCAAUUUUUCUAAAAAUUAUAUAUAAUUAUAAUAAUAAUUAUAAUAUAUAUAAUUAUAAAUAUAAUUAUAUAUAAUUUCUUAUUAGUAUUUUUGUCUUUAUUUUUUUUAAUCUUUCUUAUAAUUUUAUUACAACAAUAGUUGUUUAUUUUUUAGUUAUUUUUUUAUACAAUUUUUUGACUCUUUUUUUUUACUAUUAUUUAUUUUAUUUAUAUAUUUAUUUCUGCAGAAUCGUUCCGCCGCAACGCGCGGGUCCUUCACUAGUAUAAACAAUAUAUGCGAAGAACCCUCUGUUUCUAUAUGUUGUUUUGUUUCUGAUCUUAAGUUAUUGAGUUAGAGUUUAUCAAAAAGAAAAAUUGAAUGUAAGUCAGUGGCCGAAUUAUACAAAUUUGCUAUUUUGUGCGUAAGCAAAACCGUCUACGAUUGGAAUGUUAAUUAAUGAUAAAGUGGCUACAUCUUGUAUGUUUAAAGCCUAAUAUAAUCUUCUUUUUGCUUGCUUAUGUCUCAAAGCACCCAAAUAUUCUCUCUCAAUAAACCUGUUAGGCAGGUUAAAGAGAAUCAAAAUGCCUGUUUAGAGGCAUGUAAAGAUAUUUCAAACUCCUUUCCUAGUCAUGGAGCAAUGAAAAAGCUAAAGUUGUGUCAAAAUUCUUUCUAAAUUAAAUUAAUAACGUUAAAAGUUAAGAACAUUUUAAUAAGAAUUAGAAAAUUGAUUGAUCAUAAUUAGUGUAGUUGACUAAGAGCUUACGGUUGACAGCUCUACAAGAUUACCUCGCAAGACUUAUAUGUAUUAAAAUACUGAUGUAUUAUAUGCAAAUUAAUUUAUGUGUUGCAUUAUUAUUAUUUUUUAUUUGCAUCUGAAAAUGCCACCGUUUGGUUUGGGGUUAAAUAAAAACUUGUUAUUUCAGGGAUAGAGUUAAGUUCAGGUUAAGGUGGGAUUAGAGUAAUUUUAUGUUUGGUUGAGAAUUAGGUUUAGUUCAGGUAUAGAUAAAAUAGUGUUUGGUUGGAGUAGGUGGGAUAAAACGAUAGUAGAUAAAAUAGUGUUUGGUUGGAGUAGGUGGGAUAAAAAGAUAAUAGAUAAAAUAGUGUUUGGUUGAAGUAGGUGGGAUAAAAAGGAUAAUGGGUAAAAUAGUAUUUUGUUUGAUUAGAGUAGUAGGGUGGGGUGGUGUAGCUCCACCCCCAAAUUGAGUGUUUGGAAAUAACUUUGGAGUUAAAAAGUUAUUCCACCCCUCAACCCCGAACCAAACGGAUGCUUUGGAGUCAGAAUAAGCUUCACUUGUCCCUUUGGAUUUGCUUAAGGCGUGGAGUCUCUAUCCGUCUUCUUAAUGGACAUGAACUGGACCGACGGUCUAUAUCCACCAACAUUAAUUAUUUGAUGUUGAACGGAAAAUGUGUUGCAUGGACAAGAUUCAACGUGUUAGUCGUGAACCACCCAGUUGAUAUAUUAUUCAAUUUAUUUUUAUAUUCAUAUACAGGUGAAAGAUCUGAUAAAUUAUACCACAUAUAGUGAUAAUAAAGAUAACGGUAAUAUGCCACUGAAGAGCAGAUGUAAAAAUUGAGCAUAAAACCUCCGUCUAAGAAUAAUACGUCGGAUCGUUGGUGCUAAUUGUUAAUCUCAACAGUUCGAGUUUGUUAGAAAUAUAUAAUUUAUUUACUUAAAGUGUACGAACGCAGCGCCAACGAAUUUUAACUAUAACUCGGUCCAUCCAGCAUUAUAAUAUUUCGAACAUGACUCGGCUUAAUUCAACCUCACGUCAUUUCGAACGUGACGCGGUCCAAUCUGGCAUCCCAUCAUAAAACAAAAUACCGAUCCUUUUAAGCUAACAUAAUAGUUACAUAUUACGUACAAAAAUGUUGCCACAAGUAUAAUGUGAAGGUAUUUAAUAUUUUUACUUAGUUUAGAUAGGUUUGAUCCCUGUUAGUUUAAUAUUUUGAGUCCUCUUUAGCACAAAUAAUAAUUUCGGGGGGGAGGGAAACACUCAAACACUUCAAAGAGUGAGGGAUUUGAAGUGAUUAAAACACACUUCAAAGAAUAUAAAUAGGAGUAUAUUUUUCAUUUUUGACUUAGUUUUUCAUACAUCAUUAGCUGUAGCCACAUAGGCUCAACUGGAGCCGAAAGAACCUCACGUGCGUAACAAACUAAUCCUUUUCAUUUAAUAAAAGACAUUAGUGGAGGUAUCACUUGUAAAAAAGGAAAAAAAAAAGUAUUUUAAAUUUUCAUAGUACACUGUAAAGAUGAAGGGAUAUAAGACCAUUAAAAAAUUGGGAGUGGAUGGUAGUGUUGGAUUUGAUCUGUUUUGAUGGUGACAGAGAAUAAGACAAGGAGAGUAAUUGGAUCCAAUUGGGUCAAAAUUGUUUUUAGUAUAAAGAAAUUAGACAAAAUUUCAGGGUGAUUUUGGCUGUUACGCAAAGUGGUCAAAAGAAAAUUAGUGUCGCAAUCUUAAUACAAAAGCCCUGGAUUCUUAUUGUAAUUGUUGACCUACAUCGGCUAACAAAUUUUUUUUUCUCUCUUUUUUUUUUUAUUUUGAUUGUUCUGUAUAAGAAUAAUAAUAUCUAAUUAAAAAUUUUAUAAAUUGCAUACAAAUGGAAAAGCAAAAUUUUUUUUAAAAAAUCAUUGAACUAAUAAAUUAGUAUACUAUUUAUUUUUAGGCUGGUUAUCAGCUAACAUGACAUAUUAAGAUUGCUUUGAAAUAUAUAACACAGUACAAGUGUUACAAUAAAGACACGAUUUUGCAACAGAAUCUUUUAUAAAUUGUCUGUUGUUAUAUUAGUAGUCACAUGUAGCAUCUUAAAUUGUGAAAAUCAAUCAACAUCUUUAUAUUAUGUUAUAUAUUUAUUAAAAUAGUAUUGCUAAUGACCCUACAACAGCACUCAUUUCUUGUUUGGAUCCUAGAAUCUGUAAAACUCACAUCUAAUUUUUGCAACAGAAUUGAUAUUGCGAAAGCAAAAUUUAAUUACACGACAAAAUAAAUUUAUAUUAAUAUCUAAUCAUGUUUGAGACUCUUAUUAGAUUCUAACAACAAUGAAAAAUACUUUGACAAUAUACCUUUUCUUGUGAACCUAAAAAAGGAGGGUGUAUUGUUGCUCAAGAAACCCCUUCACAUGGAAAUGGAGAGCCCACCUAACCAACGAUGAUGUGAAAGGUUUUUAGAUCUCGGGACAACUGCUUAUAUACUCCUAAAGAGUUUUCAAUUUUCUGAUUUAUUCUUCUUACAAGAUUAUUUUACGUUCCAAUUUAUUUUCAAUAUAUUCCUUACAAUAGUGUUAUCUCUAUAAAAUUACUAUUUUUCUCUUUUUAAAUAUACCAUUUUAUCAUCACUAACUUUUCUUAUUUGUUCUUAAGUUAGGAACACAAGAAGUAUUUUAAUUUUUUGUCUUUUCAAAUAUACCCUUCUGUCAUUACCAAUAUUUCUUAUUUGCUCUUAAGUUAAGGACAAAAAAGACAUUUUAUUUUUUUUUUUAUAACUUCGGUAGAUAUUUAAUUUAUAUUUAACCUAAGUUAACUUAAUGAAUGAUAACUGCAGGAAUAUUUUAAAAUAAUAAAAGAACAUAUAAAAAAUAUAUUAAAAUAAAUAAAUAAAUAAAAUAUUGGGGAAACUUCAAAAACCCUCCUUGUAGUUUUAAUUUUUUUCACUUUAGUACCUUGUGGUUUAAAAUGUAUCAAGUUAGUACCCUGUGGCUUAAGGUGUAUCAAGUUAAUACCUUGUGGUUUUGCACUUUAUCACUUUAGUACCAUGUGGUUUUAAUUUUGUAUCAAAUUAGUAUCAUGUGAUUUUUUAAACCAUAGGGUACUAAAGUGAUAAAGUGUGAAACCACAGAGUACUAAAGUGAUAAAGUGCAAAACCACAAGGUACUAACUUGAUAGACCUUAAACCACAGGGUACUAAAGUGAUAAAGUGAGAAACCACAUGAUACUAACUUGAUACACUUUAAAUCACAUGGUACUAAAAUAAAAAAGUAUGAAACCACGGGGGGUGGUUUUUGAAGUUCUUUCUAAAAUAUUUUUGAAAUUUUGAGGGGUAUAAAAAUAAUCAUCCCUUAGAUCUUUAUCUCUCUUUCAAUGGGGUUUGCAAUGUCGAUACUUGUGGAUAGGCCUUUUCUCAACAACUUUAAUGGGUGCCGCAGCAAAAUUUGACCAGGUGCUCAAGAGUCACAUCCAUGUGUUUUUCUCAGCAACUUGUUGCAACUUGCAACUUGUGGUACCCUGCACACAUCAACAUUAAGUAUGCAGCUAAGAAAUGGUCCCUAGAUCAAAGGAAGGACAAGAAAUAUAAUUAUUAGAACUGCAGAGUAUUUUGAUUCAGCUAUCCCAUUUUUCUUUUUUAAUUCUAGUAUCAAAUUUUAUAUUUAAUUAAUUUAAACAAUUUGAUAAUUUUUGGUUAUAAAAUUUAAGUUAGUAUCUUACUUUAAUAUGUUAAUUGUUAUGUGAAUUAUAUAAAAUAUAUUAACUAAACUGAUAAAAAUAAUCGAUGUGCUUGAGUUUGGAAGUUAAAGGAUCACUACCCGGCUCAAAUCAAAUAAAUUUAAAUGUUCGAUAGUGAAAUAAAAAAUUUUGAAGUUAGGAAAGUUACAUCAAAACGAAUGAUAGUUGAGGUAACCUUUAUUUUACUGGAAUUUUUCUCAACUUUUAAUUUAUAAGAAUAAAGCUAAAUAAAUUCAAAAUAUCAUCAAACGUAUUGAUCUAAAAGGGGAAAACCUGGAUUGAGUAAGUAAAUCACGCGACAUUGACUAAUAAAGGAAAUAUUUAAAAAGAUAAUAUAAUAGCAUGUGGAAUAGUAUCAGAAAGGAUUCGAUACCGUGCAGGAAAUAAGCCGGAAAUAGUUUUAUACCAUAAAUCUUAGGCAUGCAAAUGGAUCCGAGUUAAUGUAGCUCUUGCCCAUAUCCCCUAGAAAGAGGCAGUAAUGGAAGGCUAAAAAUAAAAGACAAAAGUAAUCCGUUCCAUAUUUGCUCUAAUCUACUAGGGAUACGGAGCGAGAGGAGCGAUUUGUCAAAACUUUGUUCCUACUCUGAUAUGUUCUAACGGGGGACGAAAUAUAGAAUAAAAAUCAAUUCGUCCCGACCCUCCAAGUAAAUAGAGAGGGAGAUAGGGGAUCCCUUCUGCCCCAAGAUCCGCCGAGUAUCCUUAAUAAGGCUAUAUGUGCAUCUUAAACAAAAGUCUGCAAAUGGGCUGGAUCGGGCUUUCAGAUGCUGUACAGAUAGUAAAACCAAAUAGCCCAGGGUGGCCCAUAUGGCGUGUAAAAGGCCCAUAUAAAGUUUUUAAAAGAAGUUUGGGAAUAUUGAGGUAUAUCUGAUUGGCCCCUGUAAAUGUUUAGGGCAUUGAGUUUCUUCUUUGGGCUUGUGUAAGAUACAUAGGCACUACAAAUUAGGGGUUGCAAUCCGGCUCGCCGUUCGCGAACUAACUCGUGUUUGAUUCAAAAUGAGCUCGGGAUCGAAUUGCUCGUUUAGUAAACAAGCCGAACACAAGGUGAAUUUUUCAGCUUGUUUAAUAAACGAACCGAACACGAGCUGGGAUCAGCUCGCUCGUGUUCGGCUCAAUAACAGUUCGAAUACAUAUAUUUUAUAUUUAUAUAGUUUAUUUAAUUUAUAUUUAUAUAUAUGAAUAAAUAAAUAUAUAUAAAAUAUAUAUUUUUGUUAUUUAAUUUUUUAGCAAAAUAAAAAUAUAAAGACGUGCUUAAUUAUAAAAAGACUUAUUUAUUUGUAAAGUUGCAACCAAUAGAUUAAAGUCUAAUUAGAUUAAAAACCACUGAUGAUAAAAACAUGAACUACAAACGGUAGUGACAUAUACAGUAAGGCAUAACCGUUACAAAUGAAGAGCUGAUCUUCGUAUAAGAUUUAAUCCUUUUCUUGUGUGGUGUUCCAAUUGCGUAUGCAUUGCGGACACACUUGAAGUGAAACGCCAAUUACAUGUAAGGACAAUUAGGAGCAUAUGAAUUAAAAGAGGCCUCUCUCUCUCUCUCUCUCUCUCUUUAUAUAGAGUACUCUAGAGUGUUUUAGAAAUAAAUGCUCUCUCUACUUACUAAUAGAGCACUCUAGAAAACUCUAGAAAUAAGUGUUCUAAAAUACUCUAAAGUGUUUAAGUUGUGAGUUGGGGUUUGGGCCUAUAAAUAGGUGUAAGACCUCCAUACCAAGUAAAUGUGGUGAAGUGGUAAAGAGUACAUUAUGAAAUUGUAGUGUGUGUGGUGAGGCACAGUGUAGAGAGUAAGGGUGUAUUGAAUAGUGAAAUUAGUAUGUGAGUUUUUUAGUAUUUUGGAUAUAUGUGAUAAAAUUUUAUGUAAUAGUUAUUUUGUAUGUACUAAAAAGUGUUUUAUUAUUAGUUUGAUACGUCAAUAUUCUAUAUGAACUUUCAUACCUUGAAAUAUAUAUAUUUGACGUAUCAUCAGCAGGAAGGAAUUCCUUAAGGUCCAAGCCGUCGUGAGGGGCGUUUCCUCGGACAUUCCUUGUCGUCCCAAGUACCCUAUAGAGAUUAAAGCAUUUAUUAUAAACAGAAAUUAUGAAUUGAGAAGAAGCAGGUGUCGAAGAUAUGAAACGUUUUGGCAAACACAAGAGCACCUGUAGGUUUGGGUAUCUAACAUGUUAACCUAUUGAGCAAGGCGAGUUACCGCGAUUGAUACUUCCUUGUUUCAAAGUUCGCUCGCUGUCUUUCAUUUCAAGUUAAAAGAAGAGAAGGUAUUUAAAAAAAAAGAAGAGUAUAUUAAAGAGUCCCAUAAUUGGUUCCAGGAGAAUCUUGAGACAAAGAAUCGCGGAAAUAAGAGAGCCAGCAUACCUGAAAAGAUCUAAACUGAACAGCUGAGCAAGGCAGGAAAUCAGGAAAAUGUAGUCUCCUUUAAUCAAACAGUCCCCUUUUGCUUGGAAAUUGUACUCAGACAAGAAUACCACAAGAAUUUAAGCCAUAAUGAAUCUAUUAUUCGGUACUGAAUAUUAUUGUUGAAAUGUGUCUUCGCAUUCCUCUCUGGGUUCUUGUGUUGAAACAUGUGAAAAAUGCAACAAAAUAGUUAGAUAAAUGCGCGAUGACCUGAAAUUUUAACGCGGUUUUAGCAAAAAAGUGACUAAACCAGGCAAUGGAGGAUAUCGAACCCACGAACACUCGGAACGAGGGACAUGUCGCUACUAACCGCACUACAGAAUUAGAAUCCGCUAACUAUCAAAACAACAUUUCAUGCGUUGUUUGGUGGGUUGUUUGGACUGGUAUUUGGUGGGUUGUUUGGACUGAAAGGAAUGACUGUCUUUUCUGUGCGAAACCUCCCAACACUACCCGUGCACUAGAACGUGUUAGACUUCUGCUGACAUCCUGGAUCACGAAACUCUGACCCUGAACGUUUGGUAUUGAUCUACCUCUUUCCUAUUUUCCUGGUUGACUUCGCCGUUUUUUUUCCUGUUUAUAGUUUUUUUGUUUUAUUUCUAGUUUCUCUCUUUUGUCCGGAGGCCUCGGCUGCCUCCAUUAUGUAAGCCUAAUUCAUUUUCCUAAUGAAUGAAGCAGAUAGCUUGCUAUCUAUUUCUCAAAAAAAGUAUUUCUUGCGUUGCUAGAAAAAAAAAAAUCAUUGAGGAUAAGACUAAAUCUAAGAGGGAAUUACUUUAGGACAAAUUCUCUUUGGGGCCAAAAAGUGAUGCCACACUUGUUAAUUGUGUAAUCUCUUUUUUUUUGUAGCAUAUUGGAUUAUGCUUUAAUCAGAAAACAAAUUGACCUCGACUUGAGUAUUAUUCCAAUGUAGAUCUGCUCUUUCAUAUUACUAUGCCUAACUUGCGACAAUUCGAAGCAAUUCCUUUCACAUCACAUAAUUUAAUCAUUCCUUCAAUCAAAGUAAGAUUCCAAAAAGAAAUUAAUGAAACUUGCUUCGACAUAAAUCAGUUUCAAACCUUUCUUCUUUUUUUUUUUUGAGAGAGAUAGAUAGCACGCUACCCGCUUCGUUUAUUUUAUUUAGAAAUAAAUUUAGUUGGAAAUGUGAAUUAAUUAGGAUUCAAACUUGAAUCUCGGGUACCAACCAUCAAACCCUUUACCACUUGCUCUAGGAAUGGUCGGUGUUUCAAACUUUUCUUCAUCUAACAUAUUUGAUAGGAAUUAGAUCAAAUUUAAUAGAUCUGGUCAGAGGAUAGCGACCAAAAUCAAUUCCGCUAACAGUGUCGGUUUCAUGUCAAAUGAUUAGGCAACAUUUUCAAAGAAAAGAAAUUUUUUUUGAGCUUGUACAACUUCAUAAUAAAUACAAUAAACAGGGAAGUGAACAGAGAUGCAACAGUAACUUCAGGCUGCGUUUGGUUCGGGUAUAAGUAAGAACUGCUAGUUCUAGGGAUAGGUACAAGUUCAGGUAUAAGCAGGAACUAGACCAAUUUUGCGUUUGGAUGAAAAUUGGGUUGUUCCUAGGAAUAAGGUAAAUAGUGUUUGGAUGGUUAGAUUGGAACAAGAGGAAUAAGAGUUAUAAUUUGAAAUUAAAAUUAUAUUAUGUAAUUAAUAGUAAUAAAAAUAUUACUUAAAAAUAAAUAAGAAAUUAAUUAUUAAUAAUUAAUUAUAAAUAAUAAUAAUAAUUAUUAAUUAAUUAUAAAUAAUAAAUUAAUAAUAUGGAUUAUCUAAUUAAUUAUUAUUAUUAUUAUUAUUAUUAUUAUUAAUUAUUAAUAAAUAAUAAUAAUUAUUAAUUAUUCUUAUUAAUUAAUUAUAAAUAAUAAAUUAAUAAUAAUAUUGAUUAUCUAAUUAUUAAUAAUAAUUAAUAUUAAUAUUUAUUAAUAAAUAAUAAUAAUUAUUAUUAUUUAAUUAUAAAUAAUAAAUUAAUAAUAAUAUCCAUUAUCUAAUUAUUAAGAAUAAGAAUUAUUAAUUAAUUAUUAAUAAAUAAUAAUUAUUAUUAAUUAUAAAUUAUUAAUUAUAAAUAAUAAAUUAAUAAUAAUAUCGAUUAUCUAAUUAUUAAGAAUAAAAAUUAUUAAUAAUUAUUAAUAAAUAAUAAUUAUUAUUAAUUAUAAAUAAUUAAUUAUAAAUAAUAAAUUAAUAAUAAUAUCGAUUAUCUAAUUAUUAAGAAUAAAAAUUAUUAAUAAUUAAUAAUAAAUAAUAAUAAUAAUUAAUUAUUAAUAAUUAAUUAUAAAUAAUAAAUUAAUAAUAAUAUCGAUUGUCAUUAAAAAUAAUAAUUAUUAAUAAAAAAAUAAUGAAUAUUAUUAAUUAUUUAUAAUUAAUUAUAAAUAAUAAAUUAAUAAUAAUAAUUAUCUAAUUAUUAAUAUUUAAUUAUAAAUAAUAAAUUAUUUAAAUUAUUUAAUUAUUUAAGUAAUAAAUAAUAAUUUAAAUAUAUUAAUUAGAUUAAUUAAUAAUUUACUGCCAUUAAAAUUAAAUUUAGAUUUUAAUUAAUCUUGUUCUCAUCAAGGAACAAGUUUGUUCCAGAAAACGGGUGGAACAGCAGUUUCAGCCUUAUACCAGCUAGUUCCAGAUUCCCGGGAACUACUGUUCCCGGAAACCAAAAUUGCGUUUGGGAACAAAGGGGGGAACAAGGGCUUAUUCCCCCCCUUGUUCCCGAACCAAACACUAUCUCAAAGAAUCAAAGGAGAACAAAUACCUUCACUCACAUCUAUGCACACACAUUGGAGCUAGUAUUUUUGAAAAAAAAAAAGGAAGGAAAAGGACAUCUUGGGUGUUGCUAAAAAGGGACUCAGUAAACCAAAUGUGGCUCUCUUAGUUUUUAAUUUUAUAUAAAAAAAAAGAAAAGAAAAGGAAUAUUAGGCAUUAUUAGUAGGGCCAGUGAGGUGAGGAGCGGGAAUAGGGGGAGGGAGUAGAGGGUCAGAUUGUUGGCGCUAAUCAUUAAUUCUAAAAUUUUGAAUUAUUAAAAAUACACAAAUAAUUUAUUUAAAGUGUGCAGACACGGCGCCUACAGAUCUCUAUUGUGAUUCGGUCUAACCAGGCUCACACUACUUCUAACAUGAUUUGGCCUAACCCGACCUUCCGUUAUUUCGAACGUGACUCGGUCCAAUCUGACCUGCCGUUACAGAACAUGAUGAUGGUCCUUUUAAGCCAACGGACAAUAUCAAUUUAAUACAAUAAUGAAGACAAUCUAAGCUGUUUUAAUUUCUUCAACAAUAUUUUAAACCGAAUGCUUUUAAAUUAGUGAAAAGAUAUACUUACAAAUUUUUAAAGUUCACAGGAUGUGUAUGCUAUUGUAAAGUUUACAGGAAAAUAUUUUAAGUUGUCUUUAAAAAAGAAAAAAAAAAAAGAGGUGGCUUGGUCUACUGCACCAGGUCCAGCAAGCAACAGUGCCUCGUUUUCAAAUAUGAUUCGGUCCUUGACGAAUUAGGUGGGGGUUUGAAAAGUCAAAGUCAGCAACAAACGGGUCAACCACGCACGGCGACUUUGCUUCUACCCGAUAAUCCGGCCCAUCUAAAUUUCUAAAUUACCAUAAAUCUCUUCCUCCUCUUCAUCUGUCCAUGUCUCUGAAUUUACAAUAAACCAAUUCUCCCUUUUGGAUUACAACCUGAAAGGUAUUAAUUUUUUUUUUGUUCCUCAUAAUCUCUCUUUUUUCUUUUUCCUAUUUUACUUUGCUGAAUUAUUGAGAGAUAUUAUCUUGGCAAUUUUUUGAAAAAUUUAAUUAUUUACUCAGCAAGCUAGAUUAAUUGCUUGAUCUUACAUCCAUCAAGAGUAAUCUUAAACUGUUUACUUUUGAAUCAAUUUUUUGGAUAAUAUGUUAUCAGAGUAAGUUCUAAAGCCUAUUCAUUUAUGGCUAUUAUUUCGUUGUCUCUUUCAUUAUUUUCUCAGUUAGUUUGUGCAUGCAUAAUAGUUUAUCUAAUAUUCACCAUGCACGUGAAACACGAGCAUUCCUAGAAUGUAUAAUGAUUUAGGAUUUUGUUCCCUCAUUAAUUGAACAUUUGUCUUAAUCGCAUAUGGGUGCUAUUAGGAAGGCCUUUUAGGGAGGAGUUUGUAUGAUCAGUCUAAUUUUGAAGCAAUUGUAGAUUUAUCAAUGAAUUUCAGCAUGUUUUGUUACUUGAAUGAUAUUCUUGAAGUGCGCAGAAUUAUGAUUAAUUUCAGUCAAAUAGACAGAAAUGCUCAAAUAGCAAAAGUGGUAGGACUAAAUUAACUAAAAUUUUACCAACCAACGAUAAAUUUACAGUGUAUAUAUAUAUAGUUUCAUGAGUUCUUUCACUUUUUCCAGGUGAUAACUUUUACUGCCAUAUAUAGAAAACUGGUUUCAGAGAUCUUCUAGUGGUUCAGCUCAGUUACUGAAGAAUGUCUUACUUAAGAAGAUCAAGAAAAAGUGCUCCUGCGAAAGCCACGUCGUUGGAGGAGCAGCAAGCAAAGGUAGACACAUCUGCUUCAGCUUCGCCAUAUUGAGUAUCAAGUGAACCACAAACUUACAUGUCAAAACAAAUUGCCAUGAUCUUUUCUAUGCCUUAAGUAACUUCCAUGGCUUUUUUUUUAUAGAAUAUAAUGAUUGUAGUUCUAUAUCAAUCAGAUAAAUGAAGUUCGGAAGCUGAUAGGUUCUUUGGCUGAUCGUAUACCGAACUUCUGUUCAGAUGCUUGUAUAUCACGGUACCUGCGAGCCAGAAACUGGAGUGCAGAAAAGGCGAGUAAAAUGCUGAAAGAAACUGUAAAGUGGAGGCUCGAAUACAAGCCCGAAAGUAUCCGUUGGGUGAGCAAUCCAUAAUUUUUUUUGAAAUCUAUCAUCAAAUCGUUCAAUUUCGUAACUUAUGAUACUUUUUUUUUUUUUCUUUUCCACUGCGGUAACUCAUGAUACGUAAUCUGUAAGAAAUUAGCUCUUGAUGUUUAGCUAAGUCUGUUCAGUAUCAUUGUAGAGUUGGUUGAGAACACUGUUCUUUUUGGUGGAGUAUCAGUUGUAGAGAUGAUGCGAAUGUCGUGUUCCUUUAGAUCGACUAACAUAAGCACCUAAUUUUUACACUGAUCAAAUUUUAAGAACGAAAUUGACCGAGAUUCAAUCUGGGACGCAACAUCGCUAAAUACAAGACAUAUACCUUAGCAGUGUUACCUUGAGGGAGUUGAUGAUUAUGUUUCAUAACAUACUUGUUCAAAUUUUGUACAUUAUAAAAGUCGAAUCGAACUAAUUAUCUUAAACUAAUUCUGUACUGAUGUACUGUUUUUCACAAUUUUUAGGAUGAUAUUUCGCACGAAGCUGAGACAGGAAAGAUCUAUAGAGCUGAUUACGUCGACAAAUACGGAAGAGCUGUUCUUGUUAUGAGACCCGGAUUUCAGGUAGGAAAUUUACCAUCAAAGAAGGUCUUAAAUAUCAAGAAAUGCUCAUCACUGCUUCCAACUACCUUUGCACCUUUUCAUAUUUUGCUGCUGUUGUUGUAUCAGAAUACUACGUCGACAGAAGGGCAGAUCAAGUACUUGGUUUACUGCAUGGAGAAUGCUAUUCUGAGUCUGACGGCCGAUCAGGAGCAGAUGGUGUGGCUAAUCGACUUCCAAGGUUGGACGAUGGCGAGUGUGUCGGUGAAGGUGACUCGCGAAACUGCUCAUGUAUUGCAAGACUAUUAUCCCGAAAGGUUGGGGUUGGGGAUUCUGUACAAUCCUCCGAGGAUCUUCGAAUCUUUUUGGAAGGUAAAGAAUGUAGGAGAAUGCAGGAAAAAGGAAAUCAAAAUCUGCUUUUUGUAAUCUUACAUGUUGCAUAUUAUUGUAUUCUGACUAAGAUCAUUGUUACAGAUAGUGAAGCCUUUUUUAGACCACAAGACAUACAAGAAGGUGAAGUUUGUAUACUCCGACGACACCGAGAGCCAGAAGAUAAUGACCGAUCUUUUCGACGUGGACAAGCUCGAAUCUGCCUUCGGCGGUCGGAACCCCUGCGUGUUCGAUUUCGAUAAGUACGCAGAAAGAAUGAGAGAGGAUGAUAAGAAGAUGGAUGCUUUCCUGAACUCUGGUGGGUCUCUCCUGUCCCAGGAAAAGUCACUCAGUUCUCUGCUCCAAAAGACAGAAUCCUCAAUCUCCGAAGCGCUUUCGGAGGCCUCAUCUGAGGAUUCUUUCUCUAGUGCUACUGAAUCUCCAAAGCAAGAAGGAAUCAAAAGCCACUCAGAAAAUGGGAUGCAGGAACAUCACUGAUGCAAUGAAGCUACAGAAGCAGUUCAAAUUGACAAAAAAUCAGUUCUUCGAGCAGGACAUUUGACACUUUUAAGGAGGCUUCAUAUGAGCAAUAAGCACAAAUGCUAAUGCAAAUCGCGGAUAAUCUAUAAACAUCCAAUAAUUAAUUUACAGCAUUUCUAUCUAUUCAAGAACUACAGUCAAAAUUUUCAGCACUUGUCACGGGGUUAGCUUUUUCACCUUGAAAAUCCCCGCGCGACGCUCAAGUGUCGCACACCCGAGCCAGCCUUCUCGAGUCCUCUCCCUGGACAAGUCUCCCAGACUUAACAGCGGAAUACCAAUCCAAGCAUUUUGCCAAGCUUGCUCAUCCGCGAGACUUACAGCUCGGCCCUUCGCCUGUAAUCGAACCCCUCGUCGGACUCCUCGAGUUCCCAACGAGCAACCCCAAUACCGAGGUUGGCCACCAAGCUAGGUGCAUCUCGUCUUGCCAACCGAUCUCUCCUCGAGAGUGCUCCAUAACCGAAUGCCUUGUUGCCUCUAUCACUAGCCCCAAGGACAUUACAAGUUCUCCCCAACUUGUCCCAUAUGAGUAUAGCCAAGCGUUUCGCCUCCCACGCGUUUCGCUCCCGCGACUCGAUCCGCACGCCUCAAGCGUCGAGGUCCGGGCUUCGCGACAUCGCAUUAUAAUCUCAGUCCUUCCGCUAAAGUCGUUCAUAAAUAGUUACUUUCUUUUUUUUUUUAAAGAAAAAGUACCAUGCUACCACUUGAUUCAUCAGAUAAAUGAAUUCAAAUUAUAUAUUUAUUGUUGGUAAGUCAAAUUGUAACAAUUUUAAAGUUGAAAACCAAAAUGAAAUCUCUUGAAAGUUUGAGGGCAUUAAAUGCCUCUCACUUUGUUAUGGUGAGAUUCAAAGAAAAGAUUAUUUCAUAAGGAAUAUGAGAUGAGGUUCAACUCCCAACUCACUUGUAAGGUCAAUAACGGGCUUGUAAAUGGGCUGAAAUUGAAAACUUGGCCCACGACAAGUUCGCGACAUGGGCUAGGGCAAAAACAGUAGCUAAGGCCCGGCACGUUCCGCAAAAGUUGAAAAUUUUUUUUUUUUUUUUUGAGACGAUAAUAGGUAACUGAUCAACUGCUCUAGACAGUGAUUUUAAUUUGUGCUCGCCAAAUCAAUUCCAUUAAUAAGAUAACUAUUAUCUAGUAAUGUGGCAAUUUUGGGACCUCACGAACUCAUGAUCCCAAAAUUAUUAAACUUAUGAAUUUUGUUGUGGGUCCCGCAUGUGACAGCCACUAGAAACUAUCCCUUGUUGGACGGUUAACUUGUCCCCGGUUGGGGCCCGGAUCGAGAUCUUUACACGGACCUAAAGCCAUCCACGUCAUCCUCAAAGAACAUCUCGGGAUUUGGAGCCACGGUACACAAAUUUUUUCUCCAAUUGGGUGCGUUUUCCGGAACCCACAUGCACGUGUGGGCCCACGUGGCACCCAAAGCCCAAGACCAAUAAGGCCCACCAAAGGGCCCAUUAUGUAUUCGGAGUUAUUUACCACGGUUCACAUAAAUUGUAAAAAUUAUAUCAUAAACGAGUCAUUUAAACUAAGUAAAUUAAAAUUUUUGUCUUAUAUUUUUUCCACUGUAUGUUACACAUCCUCUCGCAUUAAAAAAAGAAAAAGAAAAAAAAAAGGCUAAAUCCUCACCAUAGCUUAUAUAGGGACAUGUCACAUGUUAUAGGUCAUGGGAUUUCCGUAGCCUAGUACCAUAUCCCUUCCGGAGGAGAAGUUCUACACUGUUACGUUUGCACCACGUCAUCAAUAAUAAGUCAAUCACAUAUCUUCUUUACAAACAAAAGUACAAUAAAAAUAUUUUUUUAUAAUCAUGAUGGGACAUAUAUUUUUAAAAUGAGUUAUUUGAUUGGUUUGUGACGCCACAUCACCAAUAUACCCGGUGUAUUCUAGAAUUUUCCCUUCCCGAGGUGGAACUAGCAUGGAUUGGACGGUUGAGAUCGAUUUAGGAGCAUCACGGUCAAUCACACAGUGUGGGUCCAUUCCAAGGAGAAAUUAUUCUAUGCACUCGGUGUAUAAGUGCAUCUCAUACACCACAGUUCUAAAACCUUUAUUAUAAAAGCCUUAAAAAUAUAAUAAAUUUUACGGCAUUUGAAAAGCCUAUGUAUUAAUAAAUAUAGUUCGAAUAUUUUUUUAAUUUUAAAACUAUAUAUAUAUAUAUAUAUAUAUAUAUAUAUAUAUAUAUNAUAUAUAUAUAUAUAAUCCACCUUUGAACUUUGUAAUAUGCUUCCAAUAUUACAUAUAUACCAAAACUAUAUAAGUUUUAAACUUAAAUAUUAGUUAUUUAAUAUGGAGUGCAAUACAUGAGAUGCACAUACAAUAAUUUAAAAUAAAACUAUAUAAAUUAUGUAAAAUAAUCAUUUCUCUCUAAAAAAAAAAAUAUUUUAUUAUUUUAUAAUCGAUCAUAGGAAUGCACCGAUCGAGUGUAGUUAAUAGUUUUUUAUUCCAUGGACCCUUUUUAUUUGACCUUGGUUACAUGACCAUAAUAUUUUAGGCUCGUUAGAUGUGACCGGGAUCGAUCUACUUGGAGCUCCUGUAUCCUUAAUUAAGCCAUAUUUUAUGGGAAUUUUGGAAUAACUUUGGGCAUAUGGAAUUUAAUUAGACUAAAUUUGGCUCCCAAAUUAUAAGAUGCGUGACAUUUUGAUUAUUAAAUUUUAAUUUAAUUAUUUUUUAAAAAAUAAAUUAUUAUAAUUGAGUUUUAUAUUCAAAUUUAAUUAAUUACAUUUUGACGUGUCGCUCAUAGAGAAGCGAUAUGAUACUUUAUUUAUUGUCAUAUUAUCGAUCAUAAUAUUGUACAUUAGUUAAUAUUUGCUAUACAUUAAUAUUUAGACAACUAAAUUGAAUUUAUAGAACUUGGUUAUAACAAUUUAGAAAAUUUGAAAAUAAAAUUAUCAUAAAAUUUAAAUCUGAAAAUCAGAGCAUCACCUGUAUAAUGGUUUGAGGACCAAAGUGUAAUUUAGCCAAUUAAUCAUGGCUAAAAGGGUCAUUUGAGUUAGAUCCAAAGUAACGGAUUUAAGAUAUGGACAUAGAUAAGAUAACACUAUUUGAAAAUAACACCUACUAACGUGCUUCUCUUUGUAUCUCAUGUUAAACAAUAUUUUAUCAAAGUCUACACUCCCUCUUUUGUGUGUUUGUGUGAGAGAGACGAGAGAGAGAGAGAGAAAGAGAGAGAGAGAGAGAGAGAGGGAGAUAUAGUAAUCCUAAAAGUGGCAAUUACAGUGGCCACUCGAUUAAGUACUAUAUAGUAUAUAUAAUAUGUAACAAUGUUGAUUACUAAGUCAUUGGAAUCAAUUAAGAGCUAGUUGUAUAAUAAAGUGUGUGUGUGUGUGUGUGUAUAUAUAUGCUAUAAACCUCGAUAUAUAUAUACAUUUUGUUUGUUCGCCUUUUUAGGAUGAUUCGUAUCCUUCAUGCAGAUUCACCGAGUUUCCCAUAAUUUAGGAUACAUAUCAAUAAAGUGCUAUUGUUCACUGGAUUAUGUAUCUUUAAAAAUUUAGAUUUUUUUUUCAUGCAUAAGGUUUUUAGGUCACCAUGCAUAGGGUAGCAUUGUUGGAUGAUAUCUUUUGUUGCUCUCCAUUUAGAUAAAUGUAUUUGUGAAAUGACAUUAAUCUAAAUUAACAAUUAAGUUCCUUUUAAUCGCUUCCACAUGUGAAACUAUAAUACUUAACUACAAUUAAAGGGCUCAGGAUCAUUCUAAAAAAGUAUAAGCUAUUAGGUGGAGACGCUCUCUAUAUUGUAUACAAAUCAAAAUUUCACUUCAUAUUCAAUAUGAGACUAUUAUUCUUAAUAACUAUCAUAUAACUAUCUAAUUUUCUAUGUAGAUUUAAUUAUUUCCAAAUUUGAUCUGAAAAGCUAAUAUGUCUCACAUGAUCAAUAGAUUUUGUUAGCAUCAAUUAAGAAACUAAAUUGCCACCGCUGAGCUCUCAUUUAGGCAUAACUAAUUCAAUUCUGAAGAUCAAGAAGAACAUUGUAAACCCUUUUUGUUUAGAUUUAUUCGUCUUUUUUUCCCCCCUCAAUUAACAGGCUCAAAUGUGGAUUUAUCCUCACUGAAUUUGGAGAACAUACAUAUUACCUCCCCUCCAGGCUCCAAAUGUUAUGCCAUGCAAAUAUAUUCUCCAUUUAUAUCAGGUUAACUUUCAAGCCAAUGUCCUGAAAAUUAAGGCCUGUUUAUCACAAGGAUUUUCCUAUUUAUAUUGUAUCUUAUUUUUGCCACAUGAAAGGUAAUAAUUUGUAAAAAUAACUCAUAGGUUCUGUUUAUUCUUCUGUUUUUUUGAAAGAAAGGGAGCAUGCUACUCGCUUUAUUUAUUUUUUUUAGAAAUAAAUUUAGCUGAAAAUGCAAAUCAACUAGGAUUCGAACUUAGAACCUGGGGUUCCGUUUAAUAUUACAGUUUAUAAUAUUUGGAUAAUUCUAUAUGCUUGCUAUUGAAAAUAUUCAAAUCAUUACAUUUCAAUUUAAGUUGGAUGGUGAUAAAAAAAAGAGCCCGUAAAUUAGUAAAAUUGUUGUACAUUUGUAAGUGUUAGUAAUACUAAAUUAUCAUGAAGUAUAAGAUAUGCUUAUUUUCAUACUUAAUAAACUUAUUAGUAGUUCAGUAAUAAAAAUAUAUUAGUUUUUAACAAUCUUUCAGCUCAAGUGACUGGAUAAGUUAGUAAUAAACUUGAUAUUUUAAAUACAAAAUAUACAACAUUUGGUAAUAUUACAAAUCUUGAAUGAAACGGACUGGUUCCACGGUUCCACCAAAUAAAGAAAUAGUGAAGAAAUAGUGAUAUAACACUUACAUUUAAAAAAGCUCUCUAACAGCAAAUUUAUAUAUUUAUGCUCGUACUCAGUAUAUGGCCCUCCUAAUUUUAAAUUAUCAUCAAGCCUACAAACCAACAUAGCUAACACCAAAUCUACUUAUUAACGCAUGAUAACUCCCCAAAUGAACCGGCCGGUCUACUUCGCCCGAGCCGGACCGAGUAUCCGAACCGAGCGAAGCUCCCCGGCUUUCCCGUUCGCAGUAACCCUCCCCGGCUCGGGCCCGAAUCGGACCGGCCCGGGCCCGACGGAGACCGCCUCGUCAGACCGGCAGCUGAGCAGCGACAUCCUGAACCGGUCGCGCUCGGCCGGAUCGAACCGGAGCUCCCCGGGGGCCGAGCCGGUCCGGUCGAGCCCCGGCGGCUCCGCCGUGGCCACGCUCCACACCACGCUGGCCUCGCUCGGCGCGUACGCGCACUCGCUCGCCGCCGCGCCGCCGAGGCGCCGCCGCGGGUCGAGGAGCUCGUCGAGCGAGCCGCGUUGGCGCCGCUGCGCGGAGAAGCUCUCGAGCUCGAAGAGGUCCGAGCUCGCGUCGCUCGCCGCGUCGUCGGGCGCCGCGGCGGUGGGGGCGUUCUCGGGCGCGCGUGGCCCGUCGACGGAUCCUCUCUCCGCGCUGUUCACCAUCCUACGCCCGAUCUCCGCUAGUAAAAGUGGCUUCUUUGCGUAGUACAACGUGGAGCGGUGGGUAAAGUUGUCACCUUUGGGCCAAUUCCCGGGCGUUAUCCUCACCUUCAUCCCCUCCUCGAAACCCACUUCGCGCUUCGUCUCUCUAUCACCAGUAGCUGCGACGCGUACGGUGGUCUCAACGCUCUGUUUCGAGUUCCCGUAAACGGAGCUCGGCCGAAGCGGGCUCUUCGGCUCGGAGAACUUCUCGGCGACUUCGACGGCGCCGCCGCCGCCGCCGCCGCCGCCGCCGCAGAAGCAGCUGCGGCGGAAGAGCCGCCUCCCGACGGCGGCGUAAUUGCCCUUCCGCGGGCCCUUCAACGGAAACGCGGCGACGGAGCGCGGCGCAUUGGCGAGGAGCCCCGAGUGGCUGUUCCAGCUCGCCACCGACGAGGCGGUGGGGGUGCCCGCCGACUCGUUUCGGUAAAUUCGGCCGUAGCCGUCGACGGAGGAGGGGCGCGGGCUGGCCAGGACGGCGGGGCGCUUCGUGGCGGAGCUGCUGUGGCCGGCGCCGUAGUAACGCUCGGCGCCGAAGAUGCCGAGUUCGGCCUCUUCGGUGCGGCGAAGGCGAAAGAGAGGGGGCGAGGAGAGGGAUGGCGGAGGAGGUUUGGAUAGGUUGGUGGGCUGGGGAGGAGAGAGGUGCGUGUGGCAUGUUGGGGUGAUCCUGUAUCUAUCCAUGGUUACUUACGCUUCUGUUCGUGUGAGAGAAGAGGAAUAUGGGUGGGGGAGGAGGAGGAAGAAGAUGAAAGUGAGUGCAACUUCUAGGGGGGCUGUAUAUAUAUAUAUAUAUACUUCUCGGAGGUUUGGAAUUGCGCUACUCUGCGUUGGAUUAGGAAAAUUACAUCUGGAAAAGAAAAGAAAAUAAAAUAAAAGAAAAAAAAGAUUACGAGGGAUUCGCAUUUGAUUUGGGUUUGAGCACAUGAUGCACAUCGACAAUAGAUGAGACGUUUAGUGAGGAUCAUCAUCUGUAAAAGUUUUCUUACGGCGUGGGAUUUGUUUAUUAUUUGCAUGGAAAAUGCCUAAGCUACCCCUCUUGUGAGUACCGUUCUUACCACUAUAUUGGACGGAUUCACAUUACAUCAAGUUAGUAUACACGCAUGAUUUAUUAGCAUGCUACAACUGUAAUAUUUAAUUAACUGCACACCUUUUAUAAUUUAUACACAGCAAUGGUAAUCCUACAAUCACUCCUGAUUGUAAUUCUACAUUUGUAGCAUUCAACUGCUCAUAUUUCUCUUCUACUCUUAUAAUUUUUCAUUUAUUAACAAACUUUUAAAAAAGUAAAUAAAUCCUAGGAAAUAGAAUUAAAGAAAAAAUUAUAAUUCUUUUUGAAUUGUACACUUAGCAUAUCUCUUUUGUGUAUGUCAUCAGCUAUCCAGUAGACGUAAACAUGCAUCCCAGGAGCGUGACAUAUUUGGCCUUUGAGUAAUCUAUAUAAUAACCAUAUAAUACACCUCUUCAAAUUUUCUCAAACUAUUUAUCUCAACUGCAAAAUCAUAAACUCCCAUAGAAGCUAUUUUUAAAUUUUUAAAUCAUAUUUUUCGCUUCUCCCCGCCAUAGAAGCUUUAGCCUUUUUUAAGAAUCAAAUAAUUUACGCAAAAAAAAAAAAAACUGCAGCUACAAAUACAAAUAGAAAUACCAGUUCGAAGUUUGCCUUUUGUUUGACUCCCUGGUAGAGAGAGAGAGAGAGAGAGAGAGAGAGCGGGAGAGAACAAAACUUAAGGGAGGGAUCAACCCACAAGCGAUUGUUGAAGCCACGCUGCAAAAUUACAACAAAUUGGAAAAGUGAUUAGGGCACAUUUCUCUUCCAUGCACAACAGAAACAUUAUGCUACUGAUCUGAUAUGCAAGAGUGACCAACUUAUGCUUCAAUAUCAAUAAGCAACACACACAGAAUUAUUAUUAUGAUCCAUUAUUACGACAGCCCAUGAGCUUUGAAGCUUUUUAACAUUCUUUCCGAGCAAAGAUAACAGAGUACAUCUUCCUAAAAGUGCUUCACAGAAAAGAUAAAGCUGAUAAAACAGUUUAACUUCUCAACAUGACCUCCCCAUGUUCGGAGGGUCCAAGAAUUGAUCCCUAUCAUUCUUAAUGGGCUGUGAUUGGCCUGGCAACAACCGGGUCGAGCCCUCUCAGACUCGGCUGGGCCUGAUUAACAGCCUAUUCGGCCCAACUUCUUCUUUUGCUGAGCAACAGGAGUCUCUCUAAACGAGAAAACUAGAUUCUGACCCUGAAAACAGAAGCUUUAAUACACUGCUCUUCAUUCUACUGUAGAAAGACCAUCUGAUAGCACCAUUCAAACAAUACUUUAUCAAACAAACUACACCCUACAGUAAGGCCUAAUAGGUGCUAAAAACGGGCGAAGGUCGUGAUGGCACGCUGGUGUCACCAUCAACCACUGCCAAACAAAAACUCUGUUGACGUUCUUUGUGUUGUGUGCUGGAGAUACUGUUACAUUUCUCCCGGUGCUAGCUCUAAAAUAAAGCAACAAAAUACCUAAAAUGGACUAAAAUGUAGCAAAUCACUGUAAUAGCAAAAGAUUACAUGCAGUCACUUCCGUAAUGAACUAAAAUAAUUGUGAAUUGCUUUAUUAGAUCCUAUAUUCACGCAAGCCCGCCGAAAAAGAUCCCUAUUAGAGGACCAGAAAUUAGAGAAUUCAACAAGAACAUACAAAAAUGCAGACUUUAUAUGAUGAAUAGCCCGGUGGAGCCCUCUCCAUAACGAUUAAUUAUCAGAUCAAACAGUUGAUUAAUCUAGAAUAACUUCCAACAGCCAACAAUGACAGCUUACCAGAGAAGUUGGAUCACUAAAUAUUCUCUGAUUUGAAUAGUUGCACCAUAGUGGACAGCAACAGAUCUGGAGGAUGUAGCGAACUGCGUACAUGUUAUCGCUUGACCCAUUGGAAGCUCUUCCUGGCUUUUGCCUUCCCGGGCUUUUUCCUCUCAACCACACGUGCGUCUCUUGUCAAAUAUCCAGCUGCGUGAAAGCACAUGCAAUAUGUCAUUAACUUCAAAAGUCAUAAAUGAUUUCAGCCUUAGCAGAUACAUUCAUUCAACUACUUAGUGUUGGAAACGCAAAACAAGGAUUUAGUUGGAUUUAUAUUAGAAAUGCAUAACAAGAAAUGAUAAUCAAGAUUCAAUGAUAAUGGAUUUGAUUUUCUAGUUUACCUGCUUUGAGGUAUGGCCGGAGCCCCGGUUCCCAAUUUUGCAAGGCCCUGCUGAUUCCCAAGCGAACUGCUCCUACCUGACCUGCAAAUGAAGCAAAGCAAUCUCAUGUCAAGUGACAAUGGAAUGUUCUAUCAUAUAAUCAGGAAAUCUUAUAUUACAAUGUUUUCGUUUGCAGCAUGCAAACAGAAGAGCAGCAAAGUUGUUAAAGCAAAUACAUCUAAAUUCUCUUAAGCGAGAAUGUGUCCACAACACUGGGAGAAUACAAAGUGAACCAGUUUUCUACAAGCAAUACUGUCAGAUGCCGCAAUAUUCACAAGGAAAGAAAGGGUUCACGUAUCAAAUAUUAGAAGUGGAUCACUUCGCUAACAAUACUCGGUAACCUUCUCUAUAUAAUAUUGUUGGAGAAGCUAAAAUGGCAACGUCACCUAAUCACAGAUAAGUAGAUUUGUUUUUCUAAAUUGGAUCAACAGUAAUAAUAAGAGAAUUAAAUUUACACUAUAAAAGCCCACAGUUAACAGGGCAUUUCAGAAAUGCAUUUACCAGUUCCAGGCAAAUCAUUUAAAGAGCUGUUUACAAUAUUUGAUUACUUUACCUGAGACACCACCGCCUUUGACAGUGCAGUUUACAUCCCAAAGACCCAAGGUCUUUGUCACUGUAAAUGGACGAAGUAGUUCAGCUCGAUGAUCCAGAAUUGGAAAGUAAGCAUCAAACUGCUUAUCGUUCACAACGAACUUCCCAUCCCCAGGCUGAAUCCAGACACGGGCCACACUGCAUUUCCUUCUUCCAGUCCCAUAAGCCCUUCCUUUCUCAUCAACUUGUCUUACACGUGCUUGCGCAAUUUCCUCCUGUUUCUUCCUCUCAAUUUCAGCUCUGCUGGAUGUUGCAUUCAAUCUUGCUAUAGCUUUGUCUUCUAUUUCUCUCAAAGGAGGUAGCCCUGGAACAUUUCUGACAUCCUUUAAGAGGAUCAAACUGUCUAUCAUAUCCUCGGUGAUUCCAGAUGCUGCAAUUAGAUCUCCGAAAGCCCGAUUUGGACCUGAAAUUUUUUUAAACAAAAUAAAUAAAUGAUAACUCAAAAAAGAAUCUUUGUAUACCAUAACCGAGCAAUGAGAUACAUCAUCAUAUAGCUUCUUCAUUCCAUAAAUAUUUAUACUAUUAAGGUCAGGUCAGCAAGAUUCAAAGUUCUCUCUAUCAAGUUUUGGAUACAUGAUAUAUGCACGACGUACAAAUCAAUAGUCUAGCUGCCACCACUUCUGCAGGUGACUUGUGUAGCCAGUCAAACUACUUAUGUCCAAUUAAGUUGGCACACUGCCCACUUUCAAGUGUGAAGCAAUAUUGUACAGAAGCAAGUGUUCAAUGCUAAAUAAGUAAAAUUUGACCUCGAAGAUACAAUUUUCUUCUAUAUGAUAAAUAAAAUUAAAAACUAUAGAUUUGUUUUGCAGCAAAUAAAAAGAAAUAGAAAGGAUAAACAAUAUUGUUGUCCAGCGGCUCGGGUAAUGAAAAUAAAUGUCACUUUCUGUUCCAGAGUUAAGUGUUUAAGCAACAAUUCACACCGUGAUAAUAUCAUUUUUGUUCAUGAUAGAACUUUCAGAACAAUAAUAAUAUUGACCUAAAACUAGAAAUGUAUUGAUUUGGAACAUACGCUUAAUCAUUUCACUUUUUAUCCAGCAAAACAGAGGCCUGCUUACAAAGCUAAAGUAAUUAACAACUAGCAAGAUUCUUGCUUCACUAAAUAUCAGAUGUUUAUAUAUCUAUAUUUUCCCAGUAGAACACUGUAAAGUCAUAAGACUGACUAAGAAACAUCAGCAUAUACCAACAAAAUUUGAAGACCCCUUAAAGGUAAGGAAAAAAUCUAACAAAUCCAUAACACCAGUCUCGGAGAAACUAGAAAGGAAGUUCUUUUUGAUGAGCUUAUGUUUCCUCAAAAUAAACUUAUAGGACUGUCAACCAACCUAUGGAAACCCAUAUAUAAAUCUAAGAGUUGCCUCCCUAUCUAUAGGUUCAUUUCAGAACUUCAAACAAGUAUACUUGGAUCCAAUACAAUUCUAGAAGGAUCCUGCAAAGGCUAGUACACUACUGUUGCUGUCUAAGUUGCUAAGCUUUAGAACUAUUCAGUCAGAUAGCAUAAGCAGAAGCAGAUAGCAUGAGCUCUCCUCUCCAGAUUCUCAUCCUGAUAUCCAAUAACUACCUUUAUAUAUGAAGCUUUGAAGAUCCUUGUACGUCUAUUUGCAUAUAUGUCAAAGAAUUUUCUCAUGUAAACAGAAAAGGCAGAAUAUGGUUCAUCUACCCGACCUAUCAUAUACUUCAUCAUACAAACAAUGUUUACAACAGAUCAAAUUAUUACAAGGUUCGCAGAAGUUCAUCUAAGCGAAGUACCUUUGAGCGUCUCUAAGAGCUCUUUCUCCCUCUCUUCCAGUUUGUGCUUCUCAUCGGCGACGUCCUUCUCAGCCUCCUCAAUCUCCCCGCCAUCGAUCCCUUCGAUCCCUCCCUCUCCUAGCUCUUCAGCGCCGAACACAUCGCCCGUCUCCUCAUCCUCCCCCAAUGUCCACGGCUUGUACCCCUCAACCGUUCCCCACUCUUCCUCUCCGACGCCUCCCCCUCCCUCCUUCGAGGCGACCUCCCGAUCAAUGUCCUCGAACACAUCGCCCUUACCGUCCGCCGCAGCGCCCUCCGCCCACGGAUCACCGCUUCCGCCGGUGAAUCCCUUCACGGCGUCCUCCGCCGCCUCCGAUCCGAAGGCCUCCUCGCCGCCCUCGGCGAUCUCGCCGAAGACGGAGUCGACCUCGUCGGACUCCGGAGAGAGCUUCCAGGUGCCGUCGUCGUCAUCGCCCCCGUCGCCUCGAGAGGCCGAGUAGAAUCUCAGCGAUCGGAGGAGGAAGCUUCGAGUCGGGUCGCGACCAGAGAAAGGGAGGCGAGGAUUGGGGCGUGGCGGUGGAGGGAGGAGAGAGGAGGAAGAGGAGGACGAGAAUAGGGUUAGGGUUUGGAGGCGGAGGGGGAGUGGCCGGGAAAAGAGUCGGCGGAGCAUCGUGGGAGGAGGAGGAGGAAGAAGACCAUUUAGCAGGUCUAGGGUUUUAGAGGUUUUCUUCCGUUGGGUUCUAUUAACCUCUACAGUAGUGUAGAUGGACCCGACCGGAUUUAACACUAAGCCCGCUCAAAUCAUAGGUAAAAUCGUAAUGCAAUAACGAAAUAAGUCAGUUAGUCAGGUUAACUCUAACCGUCCUAUCAACUGAUGCAGAUCACAAUUAUGGUUCGAUACUUACUUCUAGUUAAUUCUAACAAUGUUCUUGGAAAGUUUGAAAAAAAAUUUAAAGGCAUACAUGAAUCAGCGUCCAAACACAAGAUGUUUUAAAGAAAAUAGUAAGUAAUAUGUGUCAGAUCAAGUAAAUUGUCAGAGCAAAAGUUCAAUUUGCAUACGGUGAAAUUAAUUAGACUUGGCAUAAUAAAUGAGUAUAUUAGAGGAGAGAUUAGAGAUCAAAAUUAGAAAAAUAUGCAUAAAAAGAGUAGAAAUCAAUAACGCAAUUAGUCAUAAAGAUUAAGAAUUUAAUUAUAAAUAUAAAAAAAAAAUUAGGAAGCAAAAUUGAAAAAUGAAGUAAAAGUUGGAACCCAUGAUGCAAACGAACUUCGCUCGGACAUGUUUUCGCGGUAGCUACGGCUCUUCCCACUCGUCAAAGUCAACAUGACUCUCUCGCCUCUUCUCCCCCUCUUUCCCCGACUUCAUCUUCUCGCUCUCACUCCUCCCGAGCUCCGCAGCAAUGGCGACGCUACGCACGCUACUGCGAGAGCUCUUCUCUCUCGCGACCUACAUGAGCCCUCUCGUGGAGAAGGUGGCCGAGGCCGCGGUGGACCUCGGCCGCGCCGGCGCCGCGUCGGCGUUGGGCUCCCUCUCCGACGUCCUCUCGGUGGACUCCAAGCUCGAGGAGCUCCGCCGCAUCGUGGGCCGCAUCCACGCCCUCCUCAGGGACGCCGAGGAGACCCGCUUCGUCGAGGACGCCGCCGUGCGCAACUGGCUCCGCGAGCUCGGCGGCGUCGCCCUUGACGCCGACGACGUCCUCGACGAGUUCCGAACCAUAGUCGACGCCCAGAAGCUCCGGAUCGACGAUCGGCGCCGGAAGCGGAAGAGGCCCUGGUACGAUCUCUCCUCGUCCUGUUACCCUUGUGUCGCAAAUCUCCUCCUCUUGGUCCAAAGAUGGAAAAUUUCGACCAAAAUAGUGGAAAUUAUGGAGAUUUAUGAUGGGGUUUGUAAGGGUAGGGAGAAUCUCCAGAUGAAGGAGGGCGAUGCGACGCGGAGGGCCAUGCGGAGGGGAAAUGAAGGCGAUGCGCUCUUGGCGCCCGCGGGGUCUCUCGGCGGCGAAGUCCGGGUUGUGGGAAUGAAUCAAGAGAGGGAGAGAGUUGCUGAGUUGCUGAAUUCGAUGGAUGAGGAUGCAAUUUCCGUAGUUUCGGUUGUCGGUGCCGGAGGAACGGGGAAGACGACGCUCGCGAGGCGCGUCUUCGGCGAUGAAUCUGCAGACCAGCUGUUUGAUCUGAGAAUUUGGGUCGGCGUUCCUCGCGGGUGCGACGUCGAGAGGGCCACAGGAGAGAUAAUUGAGGCGAUAACGCGAGAGAGUUGCUGUAGUAAAAGCUUGGACUCACUGCAACGGCUCCUCGGGGAGCUUGUGAACGAGAAGCGCUUCUUGCUCGUGCUCGACGAUUUGUCGAACGAAGACCUCUUCUUCUGGGAGAUAUUGCGAGCUCCUUUGCUGAAAGGAAAGAAAGGAAGCAAAGUGCUAGUAACUACAAGGAGCAAUGUGGUCUCGCGGAACAUGCGGUCGUCGCACCCCAUCCACUUAACCGGUCUCAGCGAGGAUGAUUGUUGGUUGAUUUUUCGUGAGCACGCGUUUGAUCAGGGAGUUUGGGCUCAGCACCCGAAUUUGGAGCUAAUCGGACAAGAAAUUAUCCGCAAGUGUCAGCACUCGCCUCUGGCGGCCAAAUCGAUUGGUGGACUAUUGUAUGGUAAUACCGAUGAAGAGGAGUGGAGAAGUGUUCUAGGUGAUUUGCCUGAAACUGAAGAAGAUGCGAACAAAAUCCUGUUGACUUUGAAGGUGAGUUACGAUUACUUGCCGUUUCAUCUGAAACGAUGCUUCGCGUUCUGUUCUGUAUUUCCUAGCGGCCACGAAUUUGAUCGAGAUGAGCUGGUCAAGUUGUGGAUCGCAGUAGGUUUUAUCAAGCCCAGGCGGAACAGGUCGUUGGAGAACAUUGGCGGCAAGUAUUUUGAUUACUUACUGUGGAGAUCAUUUUUCCAGAUAUCCAAUGGUCGUAACCAAUCGAAACCAAAGUUUAAAAUGCCGGGCCUAAUCCAUGAGUUAGCGCAGUCUGUUUCUGGGUGUGAUUGUUUUAGAUUGGAUGAUGAUGCAGUGAACGAUGAGCCAGAGAAUGCUCGCUAUUUCUUAUCACGUACAAGCAGUAUGGACGACACAGCUUACUAUAAAAUUUACAAGAAUACAAGUUUACGGGCUUUAGUACUUCAGAAUGCCGAGAAUUGUGUAACCGCCGCGCCAGUCCGAGAUGAUUUAUUCUUGAAUCUAAGAUAUUUGCGUGCCUUAGAUUUAAGCGACAAUGGAUUGACAGCAUUGCCAGACUCGGUUGGUGAUUUAAUUCACCUUCGGUACCUCAAUCUCCACAGAACACAAAUAGAGAAGUUACCCGAAUCAAUAUGCAACCUCUAUAAUCUUCAAGUAUUGGAGCUGGGUGAGUGUCGGAAUCUUGCAGAGCUACCGAAAGGCGUGAGAAAUCUAAUUCACCUAAGGCAUCUGGGAUUGCAUCUGGACUGGGCGGGGCAAAGAAGUAAUUGGACUGAUUUGAUUUCCAUGCCGCCAGGAAUCGGCAGUCUAACUUCUCUUCAAACGUUGUCGAGGUUUAGUGCGUCCUCUGAGAGCGCAUGCAGUAUCGGGCAGUUAAAGAAUUUGCGAAAUCUCCGAGGAGAGCUGUGCAUCUCGAAGCUCGAAAAUGUGCUCGAUGAAAAUGAAGCCAAAGAAGCCAAUUUGAGAAAUAAGCCUUUUGUUGAUGCUGUUAUGCUGCGGUGGAGCGAGGGGGGAAACGGGAGCUUCUCUACUUCAGGAAGCCGGCCAGGAGAAGUGCUCGAACACUUGUGCCCUAGCACCAGACUCAAGUACUUACAGAUAGAGAACUAUAACGGCGCGAGAUUUCCGAAUUGGCUCGAGGAUCCAUCCUUUUCAUCUUUAGAGACGCUGCGACUCUCCAACUGCAAACAAUGCGACACCCUCCCGCUCGUCGGGAAGUUGCCCAAACUUAAACAUCUCUACUUCGAAGGACUACAUGGAUUAAAACAUAUGGGCCAUGAUCCUUUCAUUGGAUUUCCGUCACUGGAGAUGCUCUACGUUUCGGACAUGAGUACAAUGGAGAGCUGGUACGAAGUAGGAGAAGGCGCAAUGCCGCGCCUUAGGAAACUCGUCGUCUCAAAUUGCCCGCGGUUGCACGAACCGUUUCAGCUCGCAAACUCGCUUCAAAGGGUCGAAAUAAGAGAUUGCCCGAUGAUCACAGCACUGCCGCAGGAAAUGCCGGUCUCGCUCGAGCAUUUGGCCAUUACCGGAUGCCCCGCGCUGCAGCAAAGUUGCCAGAUGGAUGGAUCUGAGUGGCCCAAGAUACAGAACAUCCCUCAUAAAGCAAUUGGUUGAGAUUUUGAAUCAUAUACCUUGUAUGGCAAUUUUUCUAUUUUACUCAUUUGUAAUGAGUAACAUUUCAAAUUUCGCCAUUUAAUUAAUGCUUGAUGUAACAGCGAUGUAGCAGAGUUGAUAAUUUAGCUCUUGUAAUGCGACAGUUUGUUCAUGUUGUGGUUAAAAUAGCACCAUUUUUUUAUUUUUUCUAUAAAAUAAAAAUAUCUAAUUAGUCAUCAUUAUGUUUGUAUAAUUAGAAAGUAACAAUAUUUAUCUCCUGUUGUGAUACUGACAUGUGGACCCCACGUGUCAUCCUCAGCAUUGGGCCAACGGCCCAAAACCAUCAAAAGGCGAGCGCACGAAUCGGUACCGUCCGUUGGGUCCGUAAUUUCCAUUGGACAACAGCGUCGUUAAAUAUAAGUUAUUUUGACUUAUUUAAGUAUUAAAAAUUUCAUUACACUUGAUAUAAUUUCAUUAACUAUAAGUUCUUAAUUAUUUCAAUCUUUAUUUACUGGAAAAUAACUAAAACUAUUAAAUUCAAUAAUCUUAUCCACUAGUUUAAUAAAAAUUUCAAGCUAUGUUAAUUGAAGGGUCUCCGUUUUUUUUUUUUUUUUUUUAAACCAUGAAUGAAACAAACGAACACGACGAAGCUCUCUCCGCCUCACUCGAUCCCGCUUCUACAGUUUAGACCCGAACACUACGGGGUGAGAGAGAGAGAGAGAGAGAGAGAGAGAGAGAGAGAGCAUAAGCUGUAUGAGAACAACGACAACAACAACAUGAUAAAAACUCUAUCUUUUUCCCCCAACCAUCGUGUUCUACGAUCCAGAGAUUAGCGGUUUCUGUGUUCUAUGAAGAAUUUGGGCAAAUGGGUGUCGAUUGGUUUCAUGUUUUAGCCAAUUCUCUCUGUAAAAAUUUGAUUUUUACGUCAAAAAUUCCGCAGAGAAUGCUUGCGUGAUGAUCCGAGGCUAAAAAUGGCCGAUAGGAGCACACAAACGCUAGGGAUCGUUUGCCCUAGACCCUUCUUCUGGCUCUUCGCCAUUGCCGCGCUCUUGUUCUUCGUCUCCUGGUUCCUCCUCCUUGACUCGACCUCUCCUCCGCAUUUCAUCGAACACAUGGUUCCCAAUCCAAAGCCCUCUUUUAAUUCAAAGACCCGAGAAGCCGAUUCGUCUCUACACAACGCACACUCUUCGUUUUCGGAUAGUAAUGGCCCCCGAGAGCACGAAACCGCGGAGUGCGAUUCCAAUAAUGCGCUUUUGAAGGUGUUCAUGUACGAUUUGCCGCCGGAGUUCCACUUCGGCUUAUUGGAUUGGAAGCCGAAGAAGGCCGGAAUCGUGUGGCCGGAUCUCGGAGAAGUUCCGGACUACCCGGGUGGCCUAAACCUUCAACAUAGUAUAGAGUAUUGGCUCACAUUGGAUCUCUUGAAUUCUCGAUCGAGAUCCGGACCGUGUGUUGCCAUAAGAGUUCUCGAUUCGCGCGAUGCCGAUGUAGUGUUUGUUCCAUUCUUUUCUUCGGUGAGCUUCAACCGCCAUUCGAAAGUUUCCCCGCCCGCGAAAGUUAGUAGGAAUAAGUUGUUGCAGGAUAAGUUGGUGGAGUUCUUAACCUCGCAAGAGGAGUGGAAGAGAUCGGGGGGCCGAGAUCAUGUAAUUUUGGCUCAUCAUCCCAAUAGCAUCUUUGAUGUGAGGUUGAAGUUGUGGCCUUGUAUGUUCAUUCUCUCUGAUUUCGGGCGGUACCCGCCGACCGUGGCCAAUGUGGAGAAAGAUGUGAUUGCGCCUUAUAAGCAUGUGAUUGGUAACUACGUGAACGAUUCGGCCGGGUACGAUGAUCGACCGACUUUGUUGUAUUUCCAAGGCGCCGUUUAUAGGAAAGAUGUAAGUGAUUUGCCAAUUUUCGUUGUCUCGAUCAUAAAUUCUUCCUUUUUUUCGUUCAUUUAACUUGUUAUCUAUGAAUCGAUACUCAUGCCAAAUCAACUUUAGGUGAUAUAUUAGUGAAAAUUUUAAGUGGUAUGUCUAGGAUAACACUUGCGGAUGCUCUUAAGCAAUUCAAGCAUAAAGUGAAGUUCUAAAAACUGCAAUUUCUUUUACUCAUUGAAAUUCUCAUAUCGCAAACUCAUUCAGGGAAUAACCUUAUGAUGUAACUCAUCGAACAAUUUAAUAUGCUUUGUUCUACAGGGUGGAGUCAUCCGACAAGAGCUAUUCUAUCUUCUUAGAGACGAGAAGGAUGUGCACUUCUCAUUCGGAAGUGCAGUUCGGGACGGGGUCAAGCAAGCGACGAAAGGCAUGCACUCGUCCAAAUUCUGCCUGAACAUCGCGGGCGACACCCCAUCCUCCAACCGCCUAUUUGAUGCCAUAGUGAGCCACUGCAUCCCCGUAAUCAUCAGCAACGAGAUCGAGCUCCCUUUCGAAGACGUCCUGGACUACUCCGAGUUCUGCGUCUUCGUGCGCGCUUCUGAUGCUGUAAAGAAGGGCUUUUUAAUUAAGCUGAUUAGGGGCAUAAGCAGGGAGGAGUGGACCCGCAUGUGGAAGAGGCUCAAGGAAGUAGAGGGCUACUUUGAGUUCCGGUACCCGUCGGAGAAGGACGAUGCUGUGCAGAUGAUUUGGCAGGCGGUUGCUAGGAAGGUGCCUGCUAUUCGAUUGAAGGUACAUAGAUUGAGGCGGUUCACUCGGUUUAAAGGUGAUGAGAAAAGCAAGGAUUUGCCUGAUGAUUAUUAUUGGUUAGGGAAGCAAGUUCCCAGCUUUUAGGACAUCAAAAUUUUCCCCACUUAGCAGUUCCUGUUUCAUGUGAUGAGAUGGUUGACCUGAGAUCAAUCUCAAAUUUUUCGUUUUAGCGAUAAACAACGAAGAUCCUCAUAGUGAAUUGACGAAAUCAUUACACAUGAUACAUAUUUGGUCGGCAGCCUCCAGCAUCUUCUCCAUUUUGUCCAUUUUCUCACAAAUUUCUAUUGAGCUUGUUCAUAACUGCAGUUUUGUGACAAUAAAUAAUUGUAUGUAAAGUUCUAGUAUUACUUGAUAGUGCAGCUAAAUGUAGUGAUUACACAUUCAAUUUAACUUGUAUUCAAAUUGAAUUGUUGUUUUGAAAUUGUUUGCAGCUAUCAAAGAAGAUCGGUUUCUGAGAAUUGUUGAUUCCUUGGAUACAUACAUUCUUAUUCUGAUUUUUAGUCACAAGAGUUCGUGUCGCAUUAAAAUGUGGCUACAACUAUUAAGCUAUUUGCUGUUAAAUAUAUUGCUGGAAAUAAAUUGUAACUUGCGUUAGACAUAUUUCCUCCUCUUCAUCAGAAUAAAGUUUUCUCAGAUCAGAGAACUUAUCCGAUAUGAAGAAUCUGUCAAUAUAGUAGCAUAUAAUUACAAUUUUAAUUAUUAAAUCAAAUUUUCUUCCUCACACAGCUUCUGUUUUCUGGAAAAGAGCCAAAAGUCUACAAGCUCUUUUGUGAAAUCUUUUUCCCUGCCUAUUAUAACAGUUUUGUGGUUAGCACCCUUAAUGAUGAUAAGAUCUGCGAGUGCAAACUUUGAUUUCAUAUUGUAGCUACAUUCGAUCGGAACCACCUGAUCUUUAUCCCCGUGGAUUACUUUGACCGGUAUCCCCGCCUUUUUCACGACUUCCAAAUGCUUAUCCUGCAACUUUGCCCCUCCGCAGAUCACAUUGUGCAUUGUAUGCCACGCCGAAUGAUGAGUAUGCUUAGGUAUGUCCCUUAUCACAAAGUUCAGGUCCCUGCAGUAAAAUUCAGUAAAUGGAGUUAACAAAGGCAUGAACAGCUAAUAGAUGGCGUGUUAAAUCGAUCGAAUUGUUACCUUUUCCGCAUAAUUGUUUUCAAAAUCCACUCCCAUAUCAAGUGGUUUCUGCAGUAAACAAAGCAAACAGUUCUUCCUACAUGUUCAUACCAUGACAUGACAGAAGACCCAAACAGUAAUGGUGGCCAAAUUUUCCUCUCAGCAAGUUUGUUCAGAGUAUUGUAGCUUGCUUUCGCAUCGUCUGAAGGAAAAUAUGGCUGCGCACAAAUAUCGUAACGGUGAACAAAAGUUAGAGAGUAAAUUUACGACGAAAAGCAUUACCUUAAUCUGAGAAACCAUUGGAACAAAUGAAUUGAUACUCACUGGUGCAACCAAUGUGAUUGAUUCAACACAUGUUGGAUACUUUGCAGCUAAGGCGAGCGCAAUGAUACAACCCAUAGAAUGAGCAACUAAGUGGAAAGAAUUUAGCCGAAAUGGUUCGAUUACCGAUCUCUCGAUCAUUUUGAUAUGAUCUUUUACUCGAUACAAACAAUUUGCCGGUUUCGGGCUUCUUCCGAAGCCCAGGAGAUCCACCGCAAACAUCCUAAAUUUUGAUUUUGCUGCAGCUUCAGGAAAAAUUGUCUCCAACCAAAACGAGGAUGAAGAGAGGAAUCCGUGUAUGAAAAGCACAUUUUCCGAAGAGUCUAUCUCAUUUUUGCUUUCUGCCGCAAAAGCCGAGAAUAAGGUUGCGUUAGUAUCGACCUUUUAAAUGCUAGUAAAUAUUAGAUUAAGAGAUGGUUUAUUUUCACCAAGAGAUGGUUCCUUGACGACCAAAUGAAGCCUAUCCUCUCCUCCUCUGUCCCGAAAAGUGCCGCUGCCGCCGACGCAAGUGUCGGAACUGCAAUCCGACCACCGGCGACACCCGGAUACGCCUCUUUCCUUCUCCCCGCCGCGACUCCUCAUCCUCAAACUAAGAAUACCCAUUCCCCUAAAUAGGUUCUUUCUCCCGUGCAACGUCUCCGACACUUCCUCUCUCUCCUCCGCUUCUUCCUCUUGCUCGUUUUUCUCCCCGUUAUUAACAUAACAGUAACAUGGUAUUGGGCUCUCUUCGACGACGCCGUCUACGAAGCUAUAGACCAAGCAUAAGAUGACGUCGAGGAGAUCCAGGAAUGCGAAGACGGUGAAACUAGCGGCGGUUGUGAAAGUGUCGGCGACACUUCUCAGCCAUGUUAGGGGAGAAAACUCUGGGACACUUAGCAUCGUUAUCUUACUCUACAGCAAAACGUUUCGGGAAGAGUUGAGAGAGAGAAGAGUUUUGAGGAGAGAUCGAAAUGUGUGUGCUCGUUUUGUGUCAGUAGUUUGUCCACGUAGUUGUUGUGCGGUCGAUAGGAAAAACUACGCAAGUAUUAUUAUAAUUAUUUUUAUUCUUAUUCUUAUUAGAAUCCGAGUAAGGUGCUUCUAAAAAUACUACCACUCAUAUAAUAUUUUUAAUUUAUUAACCAUUGGAUUAACUACUUUGACAAUUUCUAGUUUUGAUCACUCAACCUUACCUUAGGUGAGACCGUUAUCAUUUCAGCUCUAUAAUUUUUUAUUUAAAAGUCAAAAAAUCGAAAACAUCAAUUUGUUAUGCUUCCAAAAGUAUAAUAGCACUAUACUUAUUAUUAUUAUUAUUGUUAUAUCUUUUUUUCUUGUAUUUAUAAAAAAAAUCUAAAUACAAAUGAAAUAGGUAACAAAUUUACAAUGUAGGUACUUUCAAUAACAUGGCUGAAAAAUUCAAAACAGAAUAAUUUUGAGUAACUACUACUAGGCUUCUGAAAUUCAUCGCUUCAAACUGAAUUUGAAUUAAAAAAAGUAUGCAUAUGAAUUUACAAAUAGGUAUUAGAUUUUGAAUUAAAAUAGAUACAUCUUCCUAACUCCUAAGUCUGUAUCCACAUUACAAUAUUCAAAAUGACAUCUCCUUUUAUUUGUUAGUUACUAAAUUUUGAAAAUUUUUUAUUUUACUUUCUAUAAUUUUAUUUAUUAAUGAAAUUGUGUUUUGUUUUUGGGCUUUCAAAUUUGGGCAGAUUAAAUUAUAGUUUUGAAUUUUAAAAUAGAGUGAUUAUAAUUUCUAUUUCAAUUUUAGGUUUUGGUUUGGUUGGCAAGUUGAGAAAGGGCCUAUAAUUAAUAAAGUAUGUGUCAAGUGGUAGCUAAGUUGAUGUAAUAUAUAUAUAGAGUUGAGCUAGAAUACUAUCGAUAGCAAAUCGGCUCUUUUGCCACCCAUUUGUUUUCGAUGAUGGAGCCUCCAAAUUGAUGAUCGGCACCGUUGAACAUGAUCUAUACCAUUUGAAGUAUUUAGAAAUCAAAUUUCAUACAUUUUUGAUAUUGUUCUCUUAUCCAUCAAGUGGACACAAAAACGAACGGCUAAAAAUGAAUAUUCUCAAAAAAAUGAUGAUAGGAGUCUUGUAAUCAAGAUCAAAAGUAUAGAUCUUGUUUUAAAUAGUUUAAAGAAUUUUCUAACAAAAAUUCAAUUGAUUUGGAUAUCUUUACACCAUUAAACGAGAAAACGNUAUAGUAGCCUAGUUCUAUAUAUAUAUAUAUAUAUAUAUAUAUAUAUAUAUAUAUAUAUAUAAUUAUGCUACUAUACUAUCAAUAGUACCAAGCCCUUGGUACUAUUGAGUUUUCGGCCGUUGGAUGAAAAGAUGUGCGGUUAGGAUGAGAGUGCGGCUAGGAUGCUUAUGGAAGCACGGAAGGCUCCGUGCUUUCACUUUGUUUUCGAUGUUCGGACUUUCGAAUCGACGAUCGGCUCCGUUAGACUUGAUCUAGAGUAUUUGAAGUAUCUAGAAAAUAAAUUUUGCGAUUUUUCGAUAUCAUUUGUCUAGUGAUCGAAGUAGCUCAAAAUUAACGGCUGAAAAUAAAAAUCUUAUAAAAUAUGAUGAUAUGACAAUAAAAUUUUGGAUCAAAGUUAUUGAUCUUGUUUUAUAUAGUAUAAGGAAUUUUCUAUCAAAAUUUUAUGUGAUUUGGAUAUUUCUACACCGUUAAACUUGCAACCGGCACACCAUGCCCGUUAAAAUUAUUGAUUUUGAGCCCCUUCGAUCACUAGGCAAAUGAUAUCAAAAAAUCACAAAAUUUAUUUUCUAGGUACUUUAAAUACUCUAGAUCAACUCUAACAGAGCCAAUUGUCGAUUCGAAAGUCCGAACAUCGAAAACAACUUGGAAGCACGGAGGGCUCCGUGCUUCUAUAAGCAUAUCAGCCCACUAUAUAUAUAUAUAUAGAGAGAGAGAGAGAGAGAGAGAGAGAGAGAGAGAGAGAGAGAGAGAGAGAGAGUAAGGCUACUAUAUUAUUAUGAGUAUUUGGCCCUUUGUACUCAUAAGUUGUUUUUGAUGAUGGAGCUUCCAAAUCGACGAUUCACUUCAUUAAAUAUGAUCUAGAGUAUUUGAAACUUCUAGAAAAUAAAUUUCGUAAUUUUUCGAAAUCAUAAUAAAGUCCAUCAGGCAAGUAUAAAAUGAACGGUCAAAAUCGAACGAUGUCUUAAAAAUGGAUGAUCGGAUCCUUCAAUUUAAGAUCAGAGUUAUUGAUUUUUAUCUAGGUAGUGAAUAGAAUUUUCUAUAUAUCAAAAAUUCAAUCUAUUCGGAUUCUUUAGCACUGUUAAACUAGCAAGUAUUCCAUACCGACUGUUAAAAAUUGUCAAUUUUGUGAGCUUUUGAUCGUAAGGUAAAUGAUGUCGAAAAAUUAUGAAAUUUGAUUUCUAGAUGUUUCAAAUGCUCUAGAUAACAUUUAACGGUGUGGAUCAUCGAUUCGGAAGCUCUAUCAUCGAAAACAACUUAUGAGUACGAGGGCGAUCGUACUCAUAAUAGUAUAGUAGUAGCCGAACUCUAUAUAUAUAUAUAUAUAUAUAUAUAUAUAUAUAUAUCCUGCUCAUUUGGUGCUAUAAAAUUUUCUGUCGUUAGAUUUAUUUUUUUUUUCAUUUUCAUCCAUUCAAUUAUACUAUUCAACUAACCAUUUAUUCAACUCUAGUGGGCCCACAUCAUACUAAUCACAUAUCUUUUAAUUUAAGUGCAGAAAACUUAAUAGCACCAAAUAUAAUUUCCCCCCUUCCACCU